AUACUUACCUGGCAGGGGAGAUAGCAUGAUCACGAAGGUGGUUUUCCCAGGGCGAGGCUUAUCUGUUGCACUCCGGAUGUGCUGACCCCUGAGAUCUCCCCAAAUGUGGGAAACUCGACUGCAUAAUUUGUGGUAGUGUGGCACUGCGUUCGUGCUCUCCCCUA
Molecule: small nuclear RNA, 164 nt
Organism: Castor canadensis (American beaver)
Lineage: Eukaryota; Metazoa; Chordata; Mammalia; Rodentia; Castoridae
Gene: U1
Rfam family: U1 spliceosomal RNA
About the family: U1 is a small nuclear RNA (snRNA) component of the spliceosome (involved in pre-mRNA splicing). Its 5' end forms complementary base pairs with the 5' splice junction, thus defining the 5' donor site of an intron.
Source: Ensembl